CCUACGGGUGGCAGCAGUGAGGAAUAUUGGUCAAUGGGCGUAAGCCUGAACCAGCCAAGUCGCGUGAGGGAUGACGGUUCUAUGGGUCGUAAACCUCUUUUAUAAGGGAAUAAAGUGCGGGACGUGUCCCGUUUUGUAUGUACCUUAUGAAUAAGGAUCGGCUAACUCCGUGCCAGCAGCCGCGGUAAUACGGAGGAUCCGAGCGUUAUCCGGAUUUAUUGGGUUUAAGGGGUUCGUAGGCGGGCUGUUAAUUCAGCUGUGAAAGGCUGUGGCUCAAACAUAGAAUUGCAGUUGAGACUGGUAGGCUUGAGUAUGUUUGAGGCAGGCGGAAUGCGUGGUGUAGCGGUGAAAUGCUUAGAUAUCACGCAGAACCCCGAUUGCGAAGGCAGCCUGCCAAGCCAUGACUGACGCUGAUGCACGAAAGCGUGGGGAUCAAACAGGAUUAGAUACCCGUGUAGUC
Molecule: ribosomal RNA, 460 nt
Filed under: uncultured bacterium
Lineage: Bacteria
Description: partial 16S ribosomal RNA
Rfam family: Bacterial small subunit ribosomal RNA
Source: RNAcentral